Molecule: long non-coding RNA, 423 nt
Filed under: Sinocyclocheilus grahami
Lineage: Eukaryota; Metazoa; Chordata; Actinopteri; Cypriniformes; Cyprinidae
Description: lncRNA (ENSSGRG00000026098.1)
Source: RNAcentral
AAAUGUCUCAACAGAUGAUGUUUGCACUGAUUGUUUGUCUCUCUGUAUCUUGUUCAGUGUGUCCAUCCAGAAGCUUCCUGAGAAGAGCUGCUACAUCAUCUAUGAGUUCUGGCAGGACCGUAUUUCCUGGAUGAGUUAUUUGCAGUCUGACGCCAGUAAGAUGUUCCAGCGCUGCAUCAUAGACAUGCAGGAGGAUCCAGAGAUCAUCUCCACGAUGCUCAUGCCAGCAUCCUGGUGGAUCAUGACAAACAACUAACAGCAGCAAGAAAACACCCUUCACCGCCCACCGCUGAACCCCGAUCUGAAACAUCACCCCAGUGUGUCUUUGAAUUAAUAACUAGACCUAAAAAAUCAGAUGAAUCAUCUGUACGUGUGACACACACACCGUUUUUGUGUUGCAUAUUAUUGAUAACAUCUGUCUGA